RNAcentral lists this small RNA (692 nucleotides) under Pan troglodytes (chimpanzee). Its description in RNAcentral is "retained intron". Lineage: Eukaryota; Metazoa; Chordata; Mammalia; Primates; Hominidae. The record is from RNAcentral.
CCCUGCACGUGGUGUGUCCUGAGCAGUACACUCAGCCGCCCCCAGCCCAGUCCCACAGGAUGGACCUCAUGAUCGACUGCCAGCCCCCCGCCAUGUCCUAUCGGCGGGCUGAGGUUCUCGCCCUGCCCUUCAAACGUCGGUACGAGAAGAUCGAGAUCAUGCCAGAGCUCGCAGAUUCACUGGUGCCCAUGGAGAUCAAGCCUGGCAUCUCCUUGGCAACUGUCUCGGCCGUGCUGCACACCAAAGAUAACAAGCACUUGCUUCAGCCCCCUCCUCGGCCCGCCCAGCCCACGAGCGGGAAGAAGAGAAAGCGGGUGAGCGAUGACGUACCAGACUGCAAAGUCCUGAAGCCUUUGUUGAGCGGUUCCAUCCCUGUGGAGCAGUUCGUGCAGACCCUGGAGAAGGUGAGCUGGUUUCGCUGGUGCCGUGGAAACUCCACACGUGGCAGCCUUUCCCUGGCUCACUAUGGCCCCCUGGCUGCAGGGAGUGGAUGUUGCUGCUUGUCACUUAGUCCCCACUGUCCUGUGGCAUCUGCUUGGUCUAAGGUCCUGCUGGGAGACCCAGGAGAAAGAAAGCAGAGUGAGGAGUGCCCCAUCCUUCCUCCCAGCACGAGGUCACCAGAAGGCCUCUCCAGACUGAAGAAAAAGCUGCUUCCACACACACAUGUGACGAGUGGGGCAGGGUAGUGAGGC